UUUCCGUAGGUGAACCUGCGGAAGGAUCAUUAUUGUAUAUUCGAGGUUCGAGGUCUGUCGCUUUCCCGUGAGGUUGUGCACGCACUCUUUAUAUACCACUCAUCCCUCUCACGCAUAUGUGAACAACCGCGCGGGUGUCCCUUUGGUCUGUUCGGAGGGGGGAUUACCUUUUCACUCAUACUAUGUAUUAAGUGUUGAAUGUAUUUUUUGUUUUUGCGAUAACGCAAUAUAUACAACUUUCCACAACGGAUCUCUUGGCUCUCGCACCGAUGAGGAACA
This 279-nucleotide unclassified non-coding RNA is filed under the name plant metagenome. RNAcentral's name for it is "partial contains small subunit ribosomal RNA, internal transcribed spacer 1, and 5.8S ribosomal RNA". The record is from RNAcentral.